Molecule: unclassified non-coding RNA, 234 nt
Filed under: Hevea brasiliensis (rubber tree)
Lineage: Eukaryota; Viridiplantae; Streptophyta; Magnoliopsida; Malpighiales; Euphorbiaceae
Source: RNAcentral
AAAGAAGUGAAAAAGAGCUCCAAGCAGAACCACAACAACAGCAUCUCCUAUGAAAAAAAUGCCAUUGGGACCUCUCUAUCUAUAAAAACCUAACCAUUAGUGAGAAGAUCAACAAUUAGAAUCAUUAAAUAGAGCAAUAUCCCGCUUGAUUUGUUCCUCAAAGUAAUUAACCACUGAAGAUUCUAGCUCAGAGAAAGAGAGCCCUAACUGUUUCCCUAGCUUGACAGUUUGAAU